Molecule: ribosomal RNA, 459 nt
Filed under: uncultured delta proteobacterium
Lineage: Bacteria; Deltaproteobacteria
Description: bacterial SSU rRNA
Rfam family: Bacterial small subunit ribosomal RNA
Source: RNAcentral
GAGAUGUGGGUAGUCCGCACGAGCGCACCCUAUCCUUAGUUGCCAGCACAUUAUGGUGGGGACUCUAAGGAGACUGCCUGGGAUAACCAGGAGGAAGGUGGGGAUGAUGUCAAGUCAGUAUGUCCCUUAUGUCCAGGGNCUACACACGUGUUACAAUGGUUGGUACAGAGGGCAGCUAAGCCGCAAGGUGGAGCCAAUCCCCCAAAACCAACCCCAGUUCGGAUUGGAGUCUGCAACUCGACUCCAUGAAGCAGGAAUCGCUAGUAAUCGCGGAUCAGAACGCCACGGUGAAUACGUUCCCGGGUCUUGUACACACCGCCCGUCACGCCAUGGAAGUCAGUAGUACCCGAAUCGAGUGGCCCAACCUUAGGGAGGGAGCUCGUUAAGGUAAGACUGGUAUCUGGGGCGAAGUCGUAACAAGGUAGCCGUACCGGAAGGUGCGGCUGGAUCACCUCCUUU